AGCCCCUACGGGAGGCAGCAGUAGGGAAUAUUGCUCAAUGGGGGAAACCCUGAAGCAGCAACGCCGCGUGGAGGAUGAAGGUUUUAGGAUUGUAAACUCCUUUUGUGAGAGAAGAUAAUGACGGUAUCUCACGAAUAAGCACCGGCUAACUCCGUGCCAGCAGCCGCGGUAAUACGGAGGGUGCAAACGUUACUCGGAAUCACUGGGCGUAAAGAGUGCGCAGGCGGGCUUGUAAGUCAGAUGUGAAAUCCUGUAGCUUAACUAAUGAACUGCAUUUGAAGCUA
RNAcentral lists this ribosomal RNA (284 nucleotides) under uncultured bacterium. Its description in RNAcentral is "partial 16S ribosomal RNA". It matches the Rfam family "Bacterial small subunit ribosomal RNA", at positions 334 to 635 of the family's 1533-position model. The record is from RNAcentral.